GACGAACGCUGGCGGUGUGCUUAACACAUGCAAGUCGAACGGUAGGGCCCUUUCGGGGGUACACGAGUGGCGAACGGGUGAGUAACACGUGAGUAACCUGCCCUCAUCUCUGGGAUAACAGUCGGAAACGGUUGCUAAUACUGGAUAUGAGCUUGCAAGGCAUCUUGUGGGUUGGAAAGAUUUUUUUUGGUUGGGGAUGGACUCGCGGCCUAUCAGCUUGUUGGUGAGGUAGUGGCUCACCAAGGCUUCGACGGGUAGCCGGCCUGAGAGGGCGACCGGCCACAUUGGGACUGAGAUACGGCCCAAACUCCUACGGGAGGCAGCAGUGGGGAAUAUUGCACAAUGGACGGAAGUCUGAUGCAGCAACGCCGCGUGCGGGAUGACGGCCUUCGGGUUGUAAACCGCUUUCAAUUGUGACGAAGCUUUUUUGUGACGGUAGCAGUAGAAGAAGCACCGGCUAACUACGUG
Molecule: ribosomal RNA, 468 nt
Filed under: uncultured bacterium
Lineage: Bacteria
Description: partial 16S ribosomal RNA
Rfam family: Bacterial small subunit ribosomal RNA
Source: RNAcentral